GCCUUUCAAGCCCAUUCUUCCCAGCAGUUAGCUUACUAUCGCUAGCACAGCUCCCCUGCCGAAGUAGCCACAGCAGUAGGCCCUCUGCUAGGAAGAUGCCAGACCAGCAAGACAACCCCUUCCUGUUGAAGUCUCUUCUGGAAUUGGGAAUUGGAGGUGGGUAGGAGAAAGGGAAAAACUAAAUGCGGCCAGAACUGAAUCCAGACUUGCUUCCCUACCACACUGCCUCUAGCCACCUCUGGGGACCCUCUCCCCUCGAUUCCACCCUAUACCCUAGUCUAGCUGUUAUUACAGGUUUCAAUCCCCCCCACCAGACCCUCACGUCAAUAAAGUAACACCCACCUACUCCCUCACCCCCCAACACAGCUAGCCCUACGAGUUGUCAUAAAAAACUUUCUGGGCGGCCCCCUUUCCUGGCGGCUCCCGAAGGUUAACCCAGAGCAGGUGCUAGAAGGCUCGCGGCGUCUUCCGGCACGAAGUCCAGGACUCUGCCGGUCCGAGCAGCCCCUGUACGCACCGCCUUGGUCAGCGGGCGCUCCCAGCACACACCCAGCGCGCGGAGCGACUCCUCCCAGAGGACGCCGAGACUGUCAGAAAGCUGCAUCAUCCACCAGCAUCUGGGGAAUUCCGACAGGUGGAUCUGAGGUCACAGCAGGACAGGCAAUGGAUAAACCUAGCAGGUUGUGGAGGUCUGGACUGGAACUCAGGAAAGAGGGCAAAGAGUGCAGAAGUGAUGCUAUGCCAGUUCCUGCCAGCUUCCACUUGUGUAAUUUUGGAAGCUCUAAGCAACUGUGUAAGAAGUUCAGCCACCUAGCUAGAGAGGACAUGUGGAGCAAAGGGGCCCUGAGACUACAUGGAGAAAGAAGCCAAGUCUUUCCACUGCCCUACUUGAGUCUUCAUAUGACUACAGUUCCAGCUGCCAUCUGACUACAACUUCAUGAGAGACCCCAAGUGAGACCAGCAGAAUUGCCCAGCUGAGCCCAGUCAAUUUGCAAAACUGUGGGAGAUGAUUGUUUUAAGCCACUAAAUUUUGGGGUGUUUGUUAUGCUGCAAUAAGUAACUAAAAUAUCACUCCGUAUUUUAAUUGCCUACUUUGUUUGCCCUCCUAGGCUAUUUUCUGUGAGGGCAGGGACAAAAACCACAUUCAAGGUUUGUUUUUGUUUUUCUCGAGACAGAGUCUUGCUCUGUCACCCAGGCUGGAGUGCAAUGGUUUGACCUUGGCUCACUGCAACCUCCGCCUCCUGGGUUCAAGCGAUUCUCCUGCCUCAGCCUUCCAAGUAGUUGCAAUUACAAGUGAACACCACCACACUCGGCUAAUUUUUUGUAUUUUUUAGUAGAGAUGGGGUUUCACCAUGUUGGCCAGGCUGGUCUCAAACUCCUGACCUCGUGAUCUGCCCACCUCAGUUUCCCAAAGUGCUGGGAUUACAGGUGUGAGCCACUGCACCCAGCCCACAUCCAUGUUUUAAAAUUGUUAUAUACUUAGGAUAUCCUUUAGCACUAAAUAAGCGCUCAUAUAUUUGAUUACUGCACUUUAAGAAUGCCUACAAAAAUGAAGGCAACAAGUAUCUAGAACACUUGCCGUGGUGAGAGUACACAAAGUACACAAUGGCAUGUGUAGUCAUCAUGAAAGGUAAUUCAAUGGACGGUGGACAACAGGUUCCCGAUGUCAGACAGACAGCUUACCUUUGUGGAGGGAUUCAGUCAACUUGAGGGACUGCAUAGAGGGACUAAACCACAAUCCAACACCAUAGAGUUUGGGAGCAGAAAAGAAAGGCUGAUGGUUUGAGGCCUGGAAGUUAAAGCAGCUAUUUCCGACAGCGCUCUCAUGAGCUGCACUGAACAGGUGAUCUGCUGUGGGCUCCAGCCACCCUCACCAUCCACCCUCACACAAGUCAUCUGCUGAUGUUCCCGUUUAUGGGGACAAGAGAUGCCGUGUUAUUCUAUACAUGGGGACAGAUGUCCUACUCUCUCCUUCAAAACUUUUCAACUAGCUUCACACAGGGAGGGCCCUCAAUCAAUGUCUGUAUGUGCAAUGAAUAUAUUUCCACUCAAAUCAGCAAAUCCCCAGACUGGGGUCUCGUACCCUUUGCUGUAAUAAUCAUUAAUACAAGGUAUUCUGUCAA
This is a non-coding RNA of Callithrix jacchus (white-tufted-ear marmoset), 2123 nucleotides long. The record is from RefSeq and is a predicted model, not a curated record. Lineage: Eukaryota; Metazoa; Chordata; Mammalia; Primates; Cebidae.